UGAGUACGAGAUGCUACGGCAUCGAAGCAGUCUAUGUCAUACUUCCAAGAAAAGCUUGCACUGUCAUAAACAAAGAAUGCCUGUACCAUAACCGACACAGGUGGGUAGGUAGAGUAUACUAAGGGGCGCGAGAUAACUCUCUCUAAGGAACUCGGCAAAAUGACUCCGUAACUUCGGGAGAAGGAGUGCCUUAUUUAUAAGGUUGCAAUAACAAGAUCCAAGCAACUGUUUACCAAAAACACAGGUCUCCGCGAAGUCGUAAGACGAUGUAUGGGGGCUGACGCCUGCCCAGUGCCAGAAGGUUAAAGAAGUUGGUUAGCAUUCGCGAAGCUGAUAACUGAAGCCCUGGUGAACGGCGGCCGUAACUAUAACGGUCCUAAGGUAGCGAAAUUCCUUGUCGGGUAAGUUCCGACCCGCACGAAAGGCGUAAUGAUUUGGAUACUGUCUCGGAGAGGGGCUCGGUGAAAUAGACUUGUCUGUGAAGAUGCGGACUACCUGCACCUGGACAGAAAGACCCUAUGAAGCUUUACUGUAACUUGAAAUUGAAAUUGGACUUUAUUUGCGCAGUAUAGGUGGGAGGCGUUGAGAAUAACCUUGCGGGUUAUUGGAGCCAUCAGUGAGAUACCACUCUUGUAAUGUUAGAUUUCUAACUUUGUAUCAUUAUCUGGUCAAAGAACAGUUUCAGGCGGGCAGUUUGACUGGGGCGGUCGCCUCCCAAACGGUAACGGAGGCGCACAAAGGUUUCCUCUGAACGGGUAGAAAUCGUAUCUAGAGUGUAAAGGCAUAAGGAAGCUUGACUGUGAGACCUACAAGUCGAGCAGGGACGAAAGUCGGUCUUAGUGAUCUGACGGUGCUGAGUGGAAAGGCCGUCACUCAACGGAUAAAAGUUACUCUAAGGAUAACAGGCUGAUCUCCCCCAAGAGUUCACAUCGACGGGGAGGUUUGGCACCUCGAUGUCGGCUCAUCGCAUCCUGGGGCGGUAGUACGUCCCAAGGGUUGGGCUGUUCGCCCAUGAAAGCGGUACGCGAGCUGGGUUCAGAACGUCGUGAGACAGUUCGGUCCAUAUCCGGUGUAGCCGUUAGAAUAUUGAGAGGAGCCUUCUCUAGUACGAGAGGACCGAGAAGGACAUACCUCUGGUGUACCAGUUAUCGUGCCAACGGUAAACGCUGGGUAGCUAUGUGUGGAGUGGAUAACCGCUGAAAGCAUCUAAGUGGGAAGCCCACCUCAAGAUAAGUAUUCUC
Molecule: ribosomal RNA, 1241 nt
Filed under: metagenome
Description: bacterial LSU rRNA
Rfam family: Bacterial large subunit ribosomal RNA
Source: RNAcentral